AUUGAACGCUGGCGGCAGGCCUAACACAUGCAAGUCGAGCGAAUGAAGGGAGCUUGCUCCUGGAUUCAGCGACGGACGGGUGAGUAAUGCCUAGGAAGCUGCCUGGUAGUGGGGGAUAACGUCCGGAAACGGGCGCUAAUACCGCAUACGUCCUGAGGGGGAAAGUGGUGGAUCUUUGGUCAUCAAGCUAUUAGAUGAGCCUAGGUCGGAUUAGCUAGUUGGUGUGGUAAAGGCCUACCAAGGCGACGAUCCGUAACUGAUCUGAGAGGAUGAUCAGUCACACUGGAACUGAGACACGGUCCAGACUCCUACGGGAGGCAGCAGUAGGGAAUCUUGCACAAUGGGCGAAAGCCUGAUCCAGCAAUGCCGCGUGUGUGAAGAAGGUCUUCGGAUUGUAAAGCACUUUAAGUUGGGAGGAAGAAAAGUGAGUUAAUCCCUUCAUGUCUUGACGUUACCAAAAGAAUAAGCCCCGGCUAACUUCGUG
Molecule: ribosomal RNA, 484 nt
Filed under: uncultured bacterium
Lineage: Bacteria
Description: partial 16S ribosomal RNA
Rfam family: Bacterial small subunit ribosomal RNA
Source: RNAcentral